RNAcentral lists this ribosomal RNA (459 nucleotides) under uncultured bacterium. RNAcentral's name for it is "partial 16S ribosomal RNA". It matches the Rfam family "Bacterial small subunit ribosomal RNA", at positions 338 to 795 of the family's 1533-position model. The record is from RNAcentral.
CCUACGGGAGGCAGCAGUGAGGAAUAUUGGUCAAUGGGCGCGAGCCUGAACCAGCCAAGUCGCGUGAGGGAAGACGGUCCUAUGGAUUGUAAACCUCUUUUGUCGGGGAGCAAAAGACGCCACGCGUGGCGUUCCGAGAGUACCCGAAGAAAAAGCAUCGGCUAACUCCGUGCCAGCAGCCGCGGUAAUACGGAGGAUGCGAGCUUUAUCCGGAUUUAUUGGGUUUAAAGGGUGCGCAGGCGGAAGAUCAAGUCAGCGGGAAAAUUGAGAGGCUCAACCUCUUCGAGCCGUUGAAACUGGUUUUCUUGAGUGAGUGAGAAGUAUGCGGAAUGCGUGGUGUAGCGGUGAAAUGCAUAGAUAUCACGCAGAACUCCGAUUGCGAAGGCAGCAUACCGGCGCUCAACUGACGCUCAUGCACGAAAGUGUGGGUAUCGAACAGGAUUAGAUACCCUGGUAGUC